GUCUCGGUGCAAGGACUGGAGG
RNAcentral lists this microRNA (22 nucleotides) under Mus musculus (house mouse). RNAcentral describes it as "mmu-miR-678". Its record names the gene mmu-miR-678. The record is from miRBase by way of RNAcentral. Lineage: Eukaryota; Metazoa; Chordata; Mammalia; Rodentia; Muridae.